This 544-nucleotide ribosomal RNA is filed under the name uncultured Rhizoscyphus. RNAcentral describes it as "eukaryotic LSU rRNA". The stretch from base 216 to 369 matches the Rfam family "5.8S ribosomal RNA". Lineage: Eukaryota; Fungi; Ascomycota; Leotiomycetes; Helotiales; Helotiaceae. The record is from RNAcentral.
AAGUAAAAGUAGUAACAAGGUUUCCGUAGGUGAACCUGCGGAAGGAUCAUUAAAGAAUUGCCCCAUUUUUUGAAAUGGGUUCUAUUCCCAAACCGUGUAUACAUACCUUUGUUGCUUUGGCAAGCCGUCCUUCGGGCGCAGCUUCGGCUGGGGGCGCUUGCCAGAGGACCCCAACUCUUUUGUUUAGUGAUGUCUGAGUACUAUAUAAUCCUUAAAACUUUCAACAACGGAUCUCUUGGUUCUGGCAUCGAUGAAGAACGCAGCGAAAAGCGAAAAGUAAUGUGAAUUGCAGAAUUCAGUGAAUCAUCGAAUCUUUGAACGCACAUUGCGCCCCUUGGUAUUCCGAGGGGCAUGCCUGUUCGAGCGUCAUUAUGACCACUCAAGCCUAGCUUGGUAUUGGGGUUCGCGGUCUCGCGGCUCUUAAUUUCAGUGGCGGUGCCAUCUGGCUCUAAGCGUAGUAAUUCUCUCGCUAUAGGGCUUCGGUAGUUGCUUGCCAAAACCCCCCUAUUUCUCACGGUUGACCUCGAAUCAGGUAGGGAUAUUU